AAAGUGCGGCUGCGCCGACGGGAGCCCGAGGCGCGUACAAUGCGACGUGGGUCCCCCGAUCUUGAGGAGCGUUCAAAGGCUUAACAAGUGAUGCUGCGCCGAGGGCGUUUCCCGUUUAGCCAGAUGCCAAGCAGACGAACACAGUUAAAAAACUGGCUUGAGAAAGGUGUAAAACAGUAAGGUCGUGACUGGACUGCGGCCUUCAAGGGGAAUUACCGAAUACACUGCACCCAGAGGAGGGAAUUACGAGACCUGAGAUUAGCCUUAGGUCGUGCCCUGAAAACAGGCCUUGGAGUUAAGUCAACAGGAGAAGAAUCGAGUGAAGUUACAGAUGAGGAAGAAGUCAAGCAGCUUCGAAAGAAAGACUAACAAGCCAUGUUCAGUAACAAGGUCCAAGAUGUACAUACCAUCAAUACUACGGAAGUCCAGUAAAAUGAAUUUUUUCUGCAUCAUCUAAUACAAGGUUCCUGUACUCAUCAAAAUCAAUAAUAUGGCCCUCUCUCUACACAUUCACUUGCUCAUACGGCCACAUCGGGAUCCAGGACCUAUUCUGCAAGCAUCUGAAAAGAAGGCUGAUGGGCUACACCACCACGUUCUGCGCUUUCUGGCCCUGACCUCGGUACGCCAUGGCAGACUGACCCCAAAUUACUUUAU
Octodon degus (degu) is the source of this 654-nucleotide long non-coding RNA. RefSeq lists it as uncharacterized. The record is from RefSeq and is a predicted model, not a curated record. The transcript has 4 exons. Lineage: Eukaryota; Metazoa; Chordata; Mammalia; Rodentia; Octodontidae.